RNAcentral lists this transfer RNA (92 nucleotides) under Paenibacillus gallinarum. RNAcentral describes it as "Paenibacillus sp. Sa2BVA9 tRNA-Ser". It matches the Rfam family "tRNA". Rfam says of the family: Transfer RNA (tRNA) molecules are approximately 80 nucleotides in length. The record is from RNAcentral. Lineage: Bacteria; Bacillati; Bacillota; Bacilli; Caryophanales; Paenibacillaceae.
GGAAAGGUACCCAAGAGGUUAUAAGGGGACUGACUCGAAAUCAGUUAGGCGCCUCACGGCGUGCGAGGGUUCGAAUCCCUCUCUUUCCGCCA